Schizopora paradoxa is the source of this 96-nucleotide transfer RNA. It matches the Rfam family "tRNA". From Rfam's summary of the family: Transfer RNA (tRNA) molecules are approximately 80 nucleotides in length. Their secondary structure includes four short double-helical elements and three loops (D, anti-codon, and T loops). Further hydrogen bonds mediate the characteristic L-shaped molecular structure. tRNAs have two regions of fundamental functional importance: the anti-codon, which is responsible for specific mRNA codon recognition, and the 3' end, to which the tRNAs corresponding amino acid is attached (by aminoacyl-tRNA synthetases). tRNAs cope with the degeneracy of the genetic code in two manners: having more than one tRNA (with a specific anti-codon) for a particular amino acid; and 'wobble' base-pairing, i.e. permitting non-standard base-pairing at the 3rd anti-codon position. NCBI's taxonomy places the organism in Eukaryota, Fungi, Basidiomycota, Agaricomycetes, Hymenochaetales, Schizoporaceae. The record is from Rfam.
UGCCCUGUGGCUUAGUUGGCUAAAGCGUGUGACUGUUACGGUUCAUUGGAAUACGAGCACAUCACAAGAUCGAGAGUUCGACCCUCUCCGGGGCAG